This 251-nucleotide ribosomal RNA is filed under the name uncultured bacterium. RNAcentral describes it as "partial 16S ribosomal RNA". It matches the Rfam family "Bacterial small subunit ribosomal RNA", at positions 524 to 772 of the family's 1533-position model. The record is from RNAcentral.
UACGGGGGAUGCAAGUGUUAUCCGGAAUAAUUGGGCGUAAAGCGUCUGUAGGUGGUUGACCAAGUCUGUUGUUAAAAAUCAGGGCUCAACCCUGAUCCGGCAACAGAAACUAGUAAACUUGAGUACGGUAGGGGCAGAGGGAAUUCUCGGUGUAGUGGUGAAAUACGUAGAUAUCGAGAAGAACACCAAUAGCGAAAGCACUCUGCCUGGGCCGAAAACUGACAUUGAGAGACGAAAGCUAGGGGAGCAAA